Molecule: ribosomal RNA, 52 nt
Filed under: uncultured bacterium
Lineage: Bacteria
Description: partial 16S ribosomal RNA
Source: RNAcentral
GNGCUUAACCGCAAGGAGGCAAGCGCCCAAGGUAUGACUCAUGAUUGGGGUG